AGAGUUUGAUCCUGGCUCAGGAUGAACGCUAGCGGGAGGCUUAACACAUGCAAGUCGAGGGGUAAUCCCGAUUUAUCGGGAACGACCGGCGCACGGGUGAGUAACGCGUAUCAACCUACCUUUUACAGAGGAAUAGCCCAGAGAAAUUUGGAUUAAUACCUCAUAGCACUGUCAAUUCGCAUGAUUUGACAGUUAAAGUUUCGGCGGUAAAAGAUGGGCAUGCGUGACAUUAGAUAGUUGGCGGGGUAACGGCCCACCAAGUCAGCGAUGUCUAGGGGUUCUGAGAGGAUGAUCCCCCACACUGGUACUGAGACACGGACCAGACUCCUACGGGAGGCAGCAGUGAGGAAUAUUGGUCAAUGGACGCAAGUCUGAACCAGCCAUCCCGCGUGAAGGAUGACGGUCCUAUGGAUUGUAAACUUCUUUUAUGUACCAAGAAUGUGCCCUACGUGUAGGGUUUUGACGGUAGUACAUGAAUAAGCAUCGGCUAACUCCGUGCCAGCAGCCGCGGUAAUACGGAGGAUGCGAGCGUUAUCCGGAUUCAUUGGGUUUAAAGGGUGCGUAGGCGGCUUAUUAAGUCAGUGGUGAAAUCCUGCGGCUCAACCGUAGAACUGCCAUUGAAACUGAUAAGCUUGAAUAUAGUUGAGGUAGGCGGAAUGAGUAGUGUAGCGGUGAAAUGCUUAGAGAUUACUCAGAACACCGAUUGCGAAGGCAGCUUACUAAACUAAUAUUGACGCUGAGGCACGAAAGCGUGGGGAGCGAACAGGAUUAGAUACCCUGGUAGUCCACGCCGUAAACGAUGUUCACUCGCUGCUUGCGAUACAUAGUAAGUGGCCAAGCGAAAGCAUUAAGUGAACCACCUGGGGAGUACGUCGGCAACGGUGAAACUCAAAGGAAUUGACGGGGGCCCGCACAAGCGGAGGAACAUGUGGUUUAAUUCGAUGAUACGCGAGGAACCUUACCUGGGCUUAAAUGUAGAUUGCAUGUGGUGGAAACACCCUUCUCUUCGGAGCUAUCUACAAGGUGCUGCAUGGUUGUCGUCAGCUCGUGCCGUGAGGUGUCGGGUUAAGUCCCAUAACGAGCGCAACCCCUAUCGUUAGUUGCCAUCAGGUUAAGCUGGGGACUCUAACGAGACUGCCACCGUAAGGUGAGAGGAAGGUGGGGAUGACGUCAAAUCAGCACGGCCCUUAUGUCCAGGGCUACACACGUGUUACAAUGGCAGGUACAAAGGGCAGCUACACCGCGAGGUGAUGCUAAUCUCGAAAGCCUGUCUCAGUUCGGAUCGGAGUCUGCAACUCGACUCCGUGAAGUUGGAUUCGCUAGUAAUCGCGUAUCAGCAAUGACGCGGUGAAUACGUUCCCGGGCCUUGUACACACCGCCCGUCAAACCAUGGAAGCUGGGGGGACCUGAAGUCUGUCACCGUAAGGAGCGGCCUAGGGUAAAACCGGUAACUGGGGUUAAGUCGUAGCAAGGUA
RNAcentral lists this ribosomal RNA (1475 nucleotides) under metagenome. RNAcentral's name for it is "bacterial SSU rRNA". It matches the Rfam family "Bacterial small subunit ribosomal RNA". The record is from RNAcentral.